RNAcentral lists this unclassified non-coding RNA (356 nucleotides) under uncultured Diversispora. Its description in RNAcentral is "sequence contains ITS1". The stretch from base 1 to 105 matches the Rfam family "5.8S ribosomal RNA", at positions 50 to 154 of the family's 154-position model. The record is from RNAcentral. Lineage: Eukaryota; Fungi; Glomeromycota; Glomeromycetes; Diversisporales; Diversisporaceae.
GAAAUGCGAUACGUCAUGUGAAUUGCAGAAUUCUGUGAAUCAUCGAAUCUUUGAACGCAAAUUGUACUUUUGGGACAUCCCAAAAGUGCAUCUGUUUGAGCGUAGACAAUAAACACUCACAUUAAAUUAUAUUAUGUGAAGUUGGUUUUUCAAUUUUCAAAAUUGAUUUACCUAAGAAUAUGAAGGUAUUUUGAUCACUAUCAAAAGUGUCAAGUAAUUACCUCCAAGAGUGUUAAGUAUUUAUAUACGAAUCUUUUGGAAUAUUACCUAUUGGUACUUUGUGAUUAGAUCCUUGUUCUUUAAUACAAUUUCAAAAUCUCUACCUCAAAUCAGAUGAGGCUACCCGCUGAAUUUAA